This 314-nucleotide ribosomal RNA is filed under the name Titanebo mexicanus. RNAcentral's name for it is "partial 12S ribosomal RNA". The record is from RNAcentral. Lineage: Eukaryota; Metazoa; Arthropoda; Arachnida; Araneae; Philodromidae.
AGGAAGUAAAUUCAAUUAAAACCUAUUUAUACUGGCGGCUUUUCAUCUUAUCAGAGGAAUCUGUUCAAUAAUGGACAUUACACAAUAAUUUUCACUUUAAUUAAAAAUUUAUAUACCGCCAUCUUAAAACUUUAUUAUUAAAAUAUUUUUAUAAUAAAUAAUAACAAGUUAGGUCAAGGUGUAAUCUAUAUUAAUAGAUGAAAUGGAUUACAUUUAAUAUAUUAAAGGAUUUUAAAAACUAAUUUUUAAAUUAAAAAGGAUUUGAAAGCAAUAUCAAUAAUAAUAUUAAUAUAUGAAUAAGAUAACAAAAGUGC